CCAGACUCCUACGGGAGGCAGCAGUGGGGAAUAUUGCACAAUGGGGGAAACCCUGAUGCAGCAACGCCGCGUGGGUGAAGGAGCGUUUCGGCGCGUAAAGCCCUGUCAGCGGGGAAGAAGAAAGACGGUACCCGACCAAGAAGCCCCGGCUAACUACGUGCCAGCAGCCGCGGUAAUACGUAGGGGGCGAGCGUUAUCCGGAAUUACUGGGUGUAAAGGGGGCGUAGACGGCGAGGUAAGCCUGAAGUGGAAGCCCGCGGCCCAACCGCGGAACUGCUUUGGGAACUGUUUUGCUGGAGUAUGGGAGGGGUAAGCGGAAUUCCUGGUGUAGCGGUGAAAUGCGUAGAUAUCACGCAGAACCCCGAUUGCGAAGGCAGCAUACCGGUGCACAACUGACGCUCAGGCACGAAAGCGUGGGUAUCGAACAGGAUUAGAUACCCGAGUA
Molecule: ribosomal RNA, 445 nt
Filed under: uncultured bacterium
Lineage: Bacteria
Description: bacterial SSU rRNA
Rfam family: Bacterial small subunit ribosomal RNA
Source: RNAcentral